CCUGGGUUAGGGAGAAGAAGGCCGAGGCCGCGUCCGACGACAUGUUAGCCUUGGUUUCGGCGAUUGCCUUGGCAUAGUCGCGGAAUUUUACCUGUUUGGGGUGGUUAAAGGGGGGGGGGGGGGAAAGGGUUGAAUGUUAGCACGUACACGUAGCAGCAGGGCGAAGUUCCAGGAUU
RNAcentral lists this non-coding RNA (176 nucleotides) under Extubocellulus spinifer. Lineage: Eukaryota; Bacillariophyta; Thalassiosirophyceae; Cymatosirales; Cymatosiraceae. The record is from RNAcentral.